RNAcentral lists this unclassified non-coding RNA (240 nucleotides) under uncultured Scenedesmaceae. RNAcentral's name for it is "partial internal transcribed spacer 2". RNAcentral also lists the same sequence under 1 other name. The record is from RNAcentral. Lineage: Eukaryota; Viridiplantae; Chlorophyta; Chlorophyceae; Sphaeropleales; Scenedesmaceae.
UAUACCCUCACCCCUCUCUCCUUUUGGAGGGUUGGUCAGCUCUCAGUUGACCUCAGGGGUGGAUCUGGCUUUCCCAAUUGGUUUACUCCGAUUGGGUUGGCUGAAGCUUAGAGGCUUAAGCAAGGACCCGAUAUGGGCUUCAACUGGAUAGGUAGCACCGGCUUCUGCCGACUACACGAAGUUGUGGCUUGUGGACUUUGCUAGAGGCCAAGCAGGAAACAUGCUUUGCAUGUCUUAAAC